RNAcentral lists this ribosomal RNA (852 nucleotides) under Arthrobacter sp. RNAcentral's name for it is "bacterial SSU rRNA". It matches the Rfam family "Bacterial small subunit ribosomal RNA", at positions 25 to 877 of the family's 1533-position model. Lineage: Bacteria; Bacillati; Actinomycetota; Actinomycetes; Micrococcales; Micrococcaceae. The record is from RNAcentral.
GUAGAUGACGCUGGCGGCGUGCUUAACACAUGCAAGUCGAACGAUGAUCCCUAGCUUGCUGGGGGGAUUAGUGGCGAACGGGUGAGUAACACGUGAGUAACCUGCCCUUAACUCUGGGAUAAGCCUGGGAAACUGGGUCUAAUACUGGAUAUUGACUUUUCACCGCAUGGUGGUUGGUUGAAAGAUUUAUUGGUUUUGGAUGGACUCGCGGCCUAUCAGCUUGUUGGUGAGGUAAUGGCUCACCAAGGCGACGACGGGUAGCCGGCCUGAGAGGGUGACCGGCCACACUGGGACUGAGACACGGCCCAGACUCCUACGGGAGGCAGCAGUGGGGAAUAUUGCACAAUGGGCGAAAGCCUGAUGCAGCGACGCCGCGUGAGGGAUGACGGCCUUCGGGUUGUAAACCUCUUUCAGUAGGGAACAAGGCCAGUGUUUAGUUGGUUGAGGGUACCUGCAGAAGAAGCGCCGGCUAACUACGUGCCAGCAGCCGCGGUAAUACGUAGGGCGCAAGCGUUAUCCGGAAUUAUUGGGCGUAAAGAGCUCGUAGGCGGUUUGUCGCGUCUGCCGUGAAAGUCCGGGGCUCAACUCCGGAUCUGCGGUGGGUACGGGCAGACUAGAGUGAUGUAGGGGAGACUGGAAUUCCUGGUGUAGCGGUGAAAUGCGCAGAUAUCAGGAGGAACACCGAUGGCGAAGGCAGGUCUCUGGGCAUUAACUGACGCUGAGGAGCGAAAGCAUGGGGAGCGAACAGGAUUAGAUACCCUGGUAGUCCAUGCCGUAAACGUUGGGCACUAGGUGUGGGGGACAUUCCACGUUUUCCGCGCCGUAGCUAACGCAUUAAGUGCCCCGCCUGGA